Long non-coding RNA from Ictalurus punctatus (channel catfish), 511 nucleotides. The record is from Ensembl. NCBI's taxonomy places the organism in Eukaryota, Metazoa, Chordata, Actinopteri, Siluriformes, Ictaluridae.
CACUCAUUACCUGCAGGAGUAACAGUAUAAUACUGUUUUAGAGAGUUGUAGCACUCACAGUGUCUCAGAGUCGAGUGGAGAGGAGAGAGAUGAGCUACCAGGAGGUCCAGUUUUGACAGAGAAACGACUCCACAGCGACUCCAGGCCUCGGUUGAUGAUUGGAAUAGAGGAGGAAGUGAAUCGGGGCGUUCGAGCAGGAAGAACCCGUGCAGGAGCGGUACAGGUCGGUGUGGGUGUGUUAGAGAACAGAGCAGUUAGAAAGACAGCGAUGAAGUAAGAACCUGGGUUCCACUCCAGUACCACCGACGACACCAAACACAACAGACUGGAGGAGUUUCCAUUAAUCCGUCCGAGAGAAAACCAGAUUUCAACCCCUUAAAGUGCCAGAAUCGGUUCAGGGGUCGAAAGAGAUGGAGAGAGAUAAAGAUGGUACUGGAGACGUCUCCAGGUCCGAAGGAUCGGGACAGAACCCCAGAGGGAAAAGCACGAAGAGACAGAGGACUGAGGAAAG